AACGAACGCUGGCGGCAUGCCUAACACAUGCAAGUCGAACGAGGCCUUCGUGUCUAGUGGCGCACGGGUGCGUAACGCGUGGAAACCUGCCCUUAGGUUCGGAAUAACUCCCCGAAAGGGGUGCUAAUACCGGAUAAUGUCGUCGGACCAAAGAUUUAUCGCCUAUGGAUGGGCCCGCGUUGGAUUAGCUAGUUGGUAGGGUAAAAGCCUACCAAGGCGACGAUCCAUAGCUGGUCUGAGAGGAUGAUCAGCCACACUGGGACUGAGACACGGCCCAGACUCCUACGGGAGGCAGCAGUGGGGAAUAUUGGACAAUGGGCGACAGCCUGAUCCAGCAAUGCCGCGUGAGUGAUGAAGGCCUUAGGGUUGUAAAGCUCUUUUACCCGGGAUGAUAAUGACAGUACCGGGAGAAUAAGCUCCGGCUAACUCCGUG
RNAcentral lists this ribosomal RNA (433 nucleotides) under uncultured bacterium. RNAcentral's name for it is "partial 16S ribosomal RNA". It matches the Rfam family "Bacterial small subunit ribosomal RNA", at positions 29 to 507 of the family's 1533-position model. The record is from RNAcentral.